UUAUCAAGAAUCAUGCCUUUCCUGUUGCAGAGUAGAAGUAAACAAAAUCAAGAAAUCUCCAAUGCUCACACAAUUUUAACAGGUUUGGCCAAUACAACAGAGACGUGAAAACCAACAGAUGUCCCCCACCAAUCCAGGAAUGAGUGAAUUCUUGCUCUAUCAGGACCUGUGAGACUUCCCUCAAGAGCUGGUUGUUAAAAAGAGCCUAGGACCUCUUCCCUCUCUUGCUUCCUCUCUUGCCUUGUGAUCUUCACAUCCUGACUCUCCUUCACCUUCCACUCUGAGUGGAAGUUUCCUGAGGCUCUCGCAAGAAGCAGAUAUCGGCACCAUGCUUCUUUUACAGUCUUCAUAGUCCUGAGAACAAGGAUGACUAACAAAAACCUGAAAUGCAUAGUAUGCAAGAAGGAGUGUUGUAAGAACUGUGUAGGAUCUAAAUCCUAGGAUUCCUUGACAUUCUGUUACUGAGAGUCUGCAGUCUCAAGACUUUAAGGAUAAUAGUUCCAAAGGAAUGUUAUCUGUACGUUUUUUCUGAGUAAACACUUCCAUUUCAAGCAAAACCUUGCUAUUUGGUGGAAAUGACCUCACUCUUAGCAUCAGGGGUGUGGCUGAUUGGCUUAACCUAAUCUAUGCCCCACCCCUUCUGGCAUUUAUUCCUUCUAGCCACAAUAAUUGGCUCAGGAAUUGAUACAUGAUCCAAUUGGGGCUAAUGAAAGAGACUGAAUCCAAAAACAUAAGCAGAAGCCUGCUUGGGUCCUCCUCUCUCAUUGCUUGGAGUCAUACUGGUGAGUAUAGGAUAAAUUCUGGAGCCUGGAAUAUGAAAACUGACUGUCAACACAUGGUAGAGUUGUCACUGAGCUGCUGCCUCCAGCUUCAGUAGGGACCAGUUCUAUCUCUAAACUGUUUCAGUUUUGUGAUGCAAUAAAUUCCACUUACUGCUGACAGUUCAGAUCAACUCAACAAUAUUCCAAGUGGGCUUUGCAGAGCAUCUUCUGGACUAAGUAGAAGGAGAAGGAGAAGGAGCCAGACCUUCCCUGUGGCCAUGCUUUCUCUAAAACAGCCCUGAUGACUUACUUUUUCAGGUUGAGGUCUGAGUAAGCCUCCAUAUUAUGUAAUAAUAAUUAUAUUAUUAUGUAAUAAUAUAAAAUAAUGAUAUCAAUUAU
Molecule: long non-coding RNA, 1160 nt
Filed under: Homo sapiens (human)
Lineage: Eukaryota; Metazoa; Chordata; Mammalia; Primates; Hominidae
Description: long non-coding RNA NONHSAT159055.1
Source: RNAcentral